GCGAAGAACCUUACCAGGUCUUGACAUCCUCUGAAAACCCUAGAGAUAGGGCUUCUCCUUCGGGAGCAGAGUGACAGGUGGUGCAUGGUUGUCGUCAGCUCGUGUCGUGAGAUGUUGGGUUAAGUCCCGCAACGAGCGCAACCCUUGAUCUUAGUUGCCAUCAUUAAGUUGGGCACUCUAAGGUGACUGCCGGUGACAAACCGGAGGAAGGUGGGGAUGACGUCAAAUCAUCAUGCCCCUUAUGACCUGGGCUACACACGUGCUACAAUGGACGGUACAAAGAGCUGCAAGACCGCGAGGUGGAGCUAAUCUCAUAAAACCGUUCUCAGUUCGGAUUGUAGGCUGCAACUCGCCUACAUGAAGCUGGAAUCGCUAGUAAUCG
Molecule: ribosomal RNA, 382 nt
Filed under: Bacillus sp. (in: firmicutes)
Lineage: Bacteria; Bacillati; Bacillota; Bacilli; Caryophanales; Bacillaceae
Description: bacterial SSU rRNA
Rfam family: Bacterial small subunit ribosomal RNA
Source: RNAcentral